RNAcentral lists this ribosomal RNA (416 nucleotides) under uncultured bacterium. RNAcentral describes it as "bacterial SSU rRNA". It matches the Rfam family "Bacterial small subunit ribosomal RNA", at positions 362 to 775 of the family's 1533-position model. The record is from RNAcentral.
UAUUGGUCAAUGGGCGCAAGCCUGAACCAGCCAUCCCGCGUGAAGGAUGAAUGCCUUAUGGGUUGUAAACUUCUUUUAUAUGGGACGAAAAAAGGGUUUUCUAACUCGACUGACGGUACCAUAUGAAUAAGCACCGGCUAACUCCGUGCCAGCAGCCGCGGUAAUACGGAGGGUGCAAGCGUUAUCCGGAUUCACUGGGUUUAAAGGGUGCGUAGGUGGGCUGGAAAGUCAGUGGUGAAAUCCCCGAGCUUAACUCGGGAACUGCCGUUGAUACUAUCAGUCUUGAAUAUCGUGGAGGCUAGCGGAAUAUGUCAUGUAGCGGUGAAAUGCUUAGAUAUGACAUAGAACACCAAUUGCGAAGGCAGCUGGCUACACGAAUAUUGACACUGAGGCACGAAAGCGUGGGGAUCAAACAG